GGAAUGGCUGACCAAUAAAGGACAAUUUAGCACUGAUGAGAAAAUUGGGUAGAGCUGGUUGCCCAGAUUUGAAGACAGGUCUUCAGUGCCCUACACUGAAGCUUUAAUUUAUGAAGUGUUUAACAUGCAUCUUACGUGCCUUUCAUGAUUCCUCAUUGAAAAUUAUAGAAGAACCCAGGUUUGUUUAGCCCUGAAAGAUUUCUUGAUGACAACAGACAAGAAAUCAAGAACCUAGCUGAAAAGUAAUGAUCUUCAGGAUUGGCAAGAGGAGGUGUCUGGAAGAAAGCUUUGCUCACAUGGAAAUAUUCAUUUUCCUAACAAUGUUACUACAUUGACUGGACAUCAAGCAUCUGAAAGGCCAGAAAAUAGAUCUAGAUCUACUAUUUUGAACUAACUAUGAAACCUAAACAGUUUUAAAUUGCCAUCUCUCUACACAUACAUUUCAAGUACAUUUUGGUCCCAAAUUUUGAAUCAGAGACAUACCCAUUUUAAAAACCUGGGCCUUCAUAAACAAUAGGGGGAUUUUAACAAUUGUUUUUAAAAAAAGGACUUAAAUCAGGGCUUGUGUACACAGAGCAGCAAAGUGGGUGUGAUUUCUAAAGCACACUAACAUGUUGUGUGUUAAUUGGUAUGUGUAGACCCUGAUGGUUCCCUAGUGUACUUGAAUUUAGUGCUGUUUCAAACACUACUACAUGAAAGCACACUAGGAAUCCUUAAUGCACACCACCAGGGUCUACAUGGACCAAUUAAUGCACAACUUGUUAGAGUGCCUUAGAAAUCACACCCCAUAGUGCGCAUUGCUGCUCUCUGUGGACAAGCUAAGCAUAUAAGUAAGUAUUUGCAGGUUCAGGACCUAUAUUAGUAAUCAAGCAGUUACUGCCUGGCUAGUAUUUAUGGUAAUUUUCUGAGAUUUAUACAGAGCAGUAUCAGUUGUGCAACCUUUCAACCCUUAGUUGUGUACUACUUAGAUGGGAGUCAUUAGCACAAUCAACUUAUUUCCCCUCUCUACCAUUGGUUGCUAGACUCUCUGUUCCAUCUAAUACAGGGGAUAAAAGGAAUGGAUAUGUUCAGCCUGACUAUAUUUUUAUGCAUAUUCUGUUUUAGUGUAAAUUCAUUGAUUUCAAUAAAGUCAUUCCUAGUCUACACCUGCAUAGUGAGGAGAGAUUCAAGAUAGAUGUUUUUUAUGUUACACUUCACAGUAUGCCAAAUUAAUCUUCCUCUUUUAUGCUGUGCUGUUCAACAUUCACAAAUGAGAUCUACCCACUUCACCAUUUUCCCAUUACCCUGUCAAAAACUGAAAUAAUCCCUUAGAUCUGGAUGUAAUUUACUGGGGCAUAGCCAUAGAUACAUUGUGCUGAUGUAGAAACUCAAAGCAAGUCCCCUCCACUUAACUUUGAAGUCCGUCUUCCACAGGCCCUGCCUUCUUUCGCCACCCACCCAAAAUAUCCAUCUGAUCCCUAACCACCCUCUCCUUACUUUCCUCCACACCAGUCCCUGGUUCUGCUCCUGUCCUUGUCACCCUAUUUACUCAUGUGAAUAGACCCACUGAGAUCAAUGGAAUAACUCAUGGUAGUAAAAUUAAGCUUAAGUGUAUGUGUUUGCAGGAUCAGGGAUAUAAUUAGGUGUGGAGAUUUGUGAUGAAAGAACCAAAAUUUCAGGCUUGUCCAAUGUAGCAUACAUGAUGUCCAUACUGAUUGGACAAAAUGACCAGUCUGAAAGGUGUUUAAAUAAUAGCCUUGCGUCAACAGCUAUUAUUAAUAGUACAGACAAAGACAGUGGAAUAACAACAUUCAGUAAGUAUUAUGUUGACAUUAAGCACUGAAAUAGCUUGUGAACCAAUUAUUUUUACUAUCAUGUAUAAAGUGGAAGGCAAUAA
Molecule: non-coding RNA, 1876 nt
Organism: Caretta caretta (loggerhead turtle)
Lineage: Eukaryota; Metazoa; Chordata; Testudines; Cheloniidae
Source: RefSeq, a predicted model, not a curated record